RNAcentral lists this ribosomal RNA (145 nucleotides) under uncultured eukaryote. RNAcentral's name for it is "partial 18S ribosomal RNA". It matches the Rfam family "Eukaryotic small subunit ribosomal RNA", at positions 1299 to 1453 of the family's 1831-position model. The record is from RNAcentral.
UGGUGGAGUGAUUUGUCUGGUUAAUUCCGUUAACGAACGAGACCCCUGCCUGCUAAAUAGUCAAAUGAGUGAUUUUUCUACUGAUUGUGGCUUCUUAGAGGGACGUGCAUUUUAUUUAGAUGCAGGAGGAUAGGGGCGAAUAACA